This 732-nucleotide ribosomal RNA is filed under the name uncultured archaeon. RNAcentral's name for it is "bacterial SSU rRNA". It matches the Rfam family "Archaeal small subunit ribosomal RNA", at positions 56 to 762 of the family's 1478-position model. The record is from RNAcentral.
AGUCGUGCGCCUCCAAGCUAUGAUGGAGACGCGGCGUACAGCUCAGUAACACGUGGCUAACCCACCCUUGAGACGGAGACAACCCCGGGAAACUGGGGCUAAUCCCUGAUAGGGGAAGAUACCUGGAAGGGGUCUUCUCCCAAAAGGCGCUUAGAUCAUGCUUCUAGACGUCGCUCAAGGACGGGGCCGCGGCCGAUCAGGUUGUUGGUGAGGUAAUGGCUCACCAAGCCUAUAACCGGUACGGGCCGUGAGAGCGGGAGCCCGGAGAUGGGCACUGAGACAAGGGCCCAGGCCCUACGGGGCGCAGCAGUUGCGAAAACUCCGCAAUGCACGAAAGUGUGACGGGGCUACCCCGAGUGCCGUCCGCUGAGGGCGGCUUUUCCCCGGUGUAAGGAGCCGGGGGAAUAAGGAGAGGGCAAGUCUGGUGUCAGCCGCCGCGGUAAUACCAGCUCUCCGAGUGGUAGGGAUGAUUAUUGGGCUUAAAGCGUCCGUAGCCGGCCUAGCAAGUCUUCCGUUAAAUCCACCGAUUCAAUCGUUGGACUGCGGGAGAUACUGUUGGGCUAGGGGGCGGGAGAGGCCGACGGUAUUCUCGGGGUAGGGGUAAAAUCCUAUAAUCCCGGGAGGACCACCAGUGGCGAAGGCGGUCGGCUAGAACGCGCUCGACGGUGAGGGACGAAAGCUGGGGGGAGCGAACCGGAUUAGAUACCCGGGUAGCCCCAGCUGUAAACGAUG